This 443-nucleotide ribosomal RNA is filed under the name Semnorhynchus cayennensis. RNAcentral describes it as "eukaryotic LSU rRNA". It matches the Rfam family "Eukaryotic large subunit ribosomal RNA", at positions 694 to 1091 of the family's 3401-position model. Lineage: Eukaryota; Metazoa; Arthropoda; Insecta; Coleoptera; Curculionidae. The record is from RNAcentral.
UUGGGAUUCGCUAAACCUAAAGGCGCAAUGAAAGUAAAGGUCCUCCUAGCGGGGACCGAGGGAGGACGGGCGGAUUUCACCCUUAAAAGUGGCCGCUCCGCACUCCCGGGGCGUCUCGUUCUCAUCGCGAGAAGAGGCGCACCGAGAGCGUACACGCUGGGACCCGAAAGAUGGUGAACUAUGCCUGGUCAGGACGAAGUCAGGGGAAACCCUGAUGGAGGUCCGUAGCGAUUCUGACGUGCAAAUCGAUCGUCGGAACUGGGUAUAGGGGCGAAAGACUAAUCGAACCAUCUAGUAGCUGGUUCCCUCCGAAGUUUCCCUCAGGAUAGCUGGCGCUCGUCGCGCACGAGUCUCAUCCGGUAAAGCGAAUGAUUAGAGGCAUUGGGGUCGAAACGACCUCAACCUAUUCUCAAACUUUAAAUGGGUGAGAUCUCCGGCUUGCU